GAAAACCGGUGAGAAUCCGGUACGGUGCCGCCACUGUAAGGGGGAGCCGCUGUAAGUUUUAUCAACACUGGAGAGCAGUCUCUGGGAAGUUGUUACAGCUGGCAAUGAACCCAAGUCAGGAUAC
This 124-nucleotide non-coding RNA is filed under the name Eubacterium limosum. Lineage: Bacteria; Bacillati; Bacillota; Clostridia; Eubacteriales; Eubacteriaceae. The record is from RNAcentral.